UGGAAUGAUUUUGAUGUAUACG
This 22-nucleotide unclassified non-coding RNA is filed under the name Mus musculus (house mouse). RNAcentral's name for it is "oocyte_clustered_small_RNA3994". The record is from RNAcentral. Lineage: Eukaryota; Metazoa; Chordata; Mammalia; Rodentia; Muridae.